AACUUAGGCUCUUACAUAAAAAAAUCAAAAUAUAAAGUUCAGCAUGUUUUCAGUAGUUUUACUAAGAUCAAGUCAGAAACGAAAUGAUUUUUUUAAAUUUCCCUGAGCAUGGACUAAAGACCCAAGUCUGCCCCAAGUAGGGACAUGCUAUCUUCUAUCUGUUCCUGUGCCAAUUAAUGACAAUUCUAUAUCCCCCCUGCACCAAUAUUAUCAGGCCAGGCCUUUUGCUACUUUAUCAUUUGGGGCUUCCUAUCACUAAAGUUCUUUGGUUAUUAGAUAACUUUGUUAUACUACUUAUGGCAGGCCACAACCGCCACCACAGAGUAGGAAAGGUCAUAAAAACAGUAAUGUUUAAGUCUGAAAAUUAAAAUAUUUCAAAUUAAGUUGCUAAAUAUUUCUACCCAAUUUUUUUAGAGAAAACCAAAGCACUGAAAUUAAAAAAAAAAUUUUAAUAGGAGCAGUUCCCCUCCCUGUAAUUAGUUUCAAGGGUAGGAGUAGCUUAUGAUGAAAUGAGUCAACGAGCAGAUUUUAAGCUUAGAGUUCAUUUCAAAAAUCUUUUAUUGGCAUAAAGAUUAGAAUGUUUUAGGGGCUG
RNAcentral lists this long non-coding RNA (592 nucleotides) under Marmota monax (woodchuck). The record is from RNAcentral. Lineage: Eukaryota; Metazoa; Chordata; Mammalia; Rodentia; Sciuridae.